This 455-nucleotide ribosomal RNA is filed under the name Tetramesa sp. LK-2005. RNAcentral's name for it is "eukaryotic LSU rRNA". Lineage: Eukaryota; Metazoa; Arthropoda; Insecta; Hymenoptera; Eurytomidae. The record is from RNAcentral.
AAACCUGAGAAACCCGAAAGAUCGAAUGGGGAGAUUCAUCGCCAGCGGCGUUUGCUUCCGUGUGGUUUCGCGAUGACGCGGGAUUUCGGUUCCGUGGCACGCUGCCACUGCGGCACGUCGGACGUCGUCGGUGUGCACUUCUCCCCUAGUAGGACGUCGCGACCCGUUGGGUGUAGGCCUACGGCCCGUACGGUCGCCUGCCGCGUCGCGUUCACGCGCGUUCACGUGGCAGACCUACGGUGUUCCUGGCCUACUGCCCGGCGGUAUGGAACGCUUCAAUUGGUAUCGAGCCGCACAUUGCGUGCGUUCCGGCUCCUCGGCAGGCUCGUCCCGCUCGGAUUUACGGACCUGGCGCCGUUGCCGGGUGCUCGACGUGGCCGUUAAAGCCGAGGAUGUCCUCGAACGGGCUCUCUCGAAAGGAUACCGGUCGGCGACGCUACUGCUUUGGGUACUUU